Molecule: long non-coding RNA, 1876 nt
Organism: Carya illinoinensis
Lineage: Eukaryota; Viridiplantae; Streptophyta; Magnoliopsida; Fagales; Juglandaceae
Exons: 4
Source: RefSeq, a predicted model, not a curated record
CUUCGCAGCUGUAAACCAUUUCCUCAUCAAACUCGAACUCGUUCACUUUACUCUUCAGGAAACCUGUUUCUUUGAUUGGUUUCACUUUGCUUUCUUAUUUCUAGGCAACUGACCAACACAACGGACGAAAAGGGCUAUGGGAAAAUUUUGGGCGUUGAUUACCCAUUAUACUACUCUUCCUUUCACUUCCUGGGCCGGUGUUGAUGCUAAUGUGCUCCUUCCCUUAUGAGUAGCUGACAUUUCUUCAACUCCAAGAUACUCAAAAUUAUGCAGAAGCUGAAAGAGAAAAAGGUCGCUGAGAUGCAGGAUAGAUUCAAAGGAGCUGGCUAUUAACGUUAAAGUGGUAGUGGAGAGCAUUAUGCAUACAGCUCGCCAUCUUGGUGAGUAUCACGAAAAUGGAAGUACUCACUACUUGGAAGAACACCAUGGGAGGCAAAGUGCUUGCUCCUAAAGUAAGUAUCAUAUAGAUCAAAAGUGCUCGCUACUAAGAAGAGCAUUAUGGGAGGCAAAGUGCUCGUCACUUUGGUAAGUGCCUUGAAUGAAGCACAACGCUCUUCAUGUGAAGGGUAUAAAACUCGUCAUAUCAGCUCAUGAAGAGAGAAAAUAUUAGCCUCGAGGCGAGCACCAUGGAGCAUUGUUGAGCUGAAAAGUGCUCCCCCCAAGUGAGCAUCACAUGAAUAAAAGUGCUACACAUCUCGGCGAGAACCAAGGGAAGCAAAUUGUUCCCCACCCCAGUGAGCACCAUGGAAGGGCAAAUAUGUUAAAAAGGAAAUACUAGCAGAUCCUCCAUCUUCUUCAGCCAAAAAAUCCAACCCAGAACGGCAAUGAUAGAGUAUUCUAUCAAAAAUGGUAGGGUGGAAAUCAAAAGUCACUAAUUAGAGCAGCAGCAACCUCUAUACCCAUGUACUGGAUGUCUUCUUUUCUACUAACAAAGGGCUUUUGUGGUUCUGUAGAUGCCAAACUCGAGACUUUUGUAGAUGUCUUCUUUUCUACUAACAAAGGGCUUUUGUUUUUAUGGAAAAUAGCAUGGAAGGCAAUACCAUUUAGAGCCCAUGCAUGUGUGAACAAGAGACAAUUGAGCAUAUAUUUCUGAAAUGCCAGGUUACGAUGGUGGUAUGGAGGGAAUAGCCAUUGCCAAAAGCCGUCACACUUGUCCAUGGAAGAGUGGAUAAACAAUGUACUGCAUCCCUAAGAAAAGCUGAACCUUGAUGGAGAAAAAGAGCAUGAAUUAACCUUGUGUGCUGCGAUAAUCAUGGACUCAAUGUAGUUCAAUAGGAAUCAGAACGUGCACCGUGGGAAACUUCUAAAUGCGUUGACUAUUGCUAGAGAUGUAAAAAGAACUCCGGAAGAACAUCCACUGGAGGAAUGGAAAGAAGACAACAAAGAGAAAGGCACAUGCUGGUUACAUCCAGAAGAAGGCAAAUGGAAAAUCAACUUCGAUGUUACAGUAAAAUCAAACUGCUCAGCCAUUGCUGCAGUAUGCCGUAAUCACAGGGGACAAAUAAACAGGGCAUGGAUGGAAAAAGUUUAUAUAAAUUCGCUGCACUGAGUGAAAUGGAAAUCAGAGCUGCAAAUGUAGCAUGCAGGAUGGCAAGCAAUCUAGAUAUCAAACAGGUCCAAUUAGAAUAAAGGAUUGGGCCGAGGAAACCAGAGCAGUUCUGAAGUACAAAGUAGGCACACAAUUUAGCUCAAUGGGCAGCAAAGGAUAAUAUUCUUGGUUUCUUUUGGGGCUUUUAUAUUCCACGGCACAUUGUAAAAUGGGAUCGGGUCAUAUCUAUAUAUUCAGCAAAAAAUAAUAAUAAUAAUAAUAAUAAGGAAAGAAUAAGGUUUUCUUAGUUGGAUUUGUUUAUAAUUUAUAUGAUUUAUGAUUUAUCUA